RNAcentral lists this unclassified non-coding RNA (336 nucleotides) under soil metagenome. Its description in RNAcentral is "partial contains 5.8S ribosomal RNA, internal transcribed spacer 2, and large subunit ribosomal RNA". The stretch from base 1 to 120 matches the Rfam family "5.8S ribosomal RNA", at positions 35 to 154 of the family's 154-position model. The record is from RNAcentral.
GAUGAAGAACGCAGCGAAAUGCGAUAAGUAAUGUGAAUUGCAGAAUUCAGUGAAUCAUCGAAUCUUUGAACACACAUUGCGCCCGCCAGUAUUCUGGCGGGCAUGCCUGUUCGAGCGUCAUUUCAACCAUCAAGCCCCCGGCUUGUGUUGGGGACCUGCGGCUGCCGCAGGCCCUGAAAAGCAGUGGCGGGCUCGCUGUCACACCGAGCGUAGUAGCAUACAUCUCGCUCUGGGCGUGCUGCGGGUUCCGGCCGUUAAACCACCUUCAUAACCCAAGGUUGACCUCGGAUCAGGUAGGAAGACCCGCUGAACUUAAGCAUAUCAAUAAGCGGAGGA